UGAAAUUAACAAAAUACUAAAAAUAGUUUGAUAAACUCAUAUAAACUUCUGAACAACAUAAUCUCAACCAUACAAUCCCAAAGAACUGUGGAACUGAGUCAUAAGAUCUAUGGAAUAAAACUACAACAUCUACACAUCCCUAUCUAAAAUAAAUGCAAUAGGAAGUAAAAUAGGGAAGGUGACUCCGAGGCCUGCGGACGUGGAGUAGGUAUAACUUAAAGUCUCCAAAGCUGUAUCUCAAAUCAACUAUAAUAUCCGACAUAGGAAGACGUACCUGGAUCUGCACAAAAAUUAUGCAGAAGCAUAACAUGAGUAUACCACAACGAUACUCAUUAAGUAUUAAGCCUAACCUCAGUAGAGUAGUAACGUGGCCAAGUCAAGACACCUACAAGGAUAUAAAUAAAUAUAGUAAGACCAUAAGAAUAAAUAACAACGGAAAGCGGAGAAAUAAUUGAUACGAAACAAGAUAAUAAAAUUAACUGAUACCGGAAAUUAGGCAUGGAAGUGACAUAAAAAAAGCAACUACAAAGAACUACAAUGACCAUAUAUGGACAACAACUUCCAGAACAAAAUGAAUGAAACAACAAAAAAUGUUCCCACCAAAACUCUUUGCAACAUGAUAUAAACAACAAAAAUCAGAACGAGGUACCGCCUUGUGUACAAUAAUAUGACAAUGAGUUACCGCCUCAUAUUAUAAAGAAUCACAACUGAGGUACUGCGUCAUAUUCACAUUUCUCAAUUUCAAUCACAAUCUUUACUUAUACCACCACGUGAACUUUACAUUUGAAAUAUAUUUCAAAAAAGAGUUUUCCCAAAAUAGCUACACUCACUUUAGCUCACCUUAUGAUGCUGCGUGGCUUCAUAUAGUCCUCUUACA
This 877-nucleotide long non-coding RNA is filed under the name Nicotiana benthamiana. Its description in RNAcentral is "long non-coding RNA (NBEN_LNC032861)". The record is from RNAcentral. Lineage: Eukaryota; Viridiplantae; Streptophyta; Magnoliopsida; Solanales; Solanaceae.